CAGCCGCCGCGGUAAUACCGGCGGCCCGAGUGGUGGCCGCUAUUAUUGGGCCUAAAGCGUCCGUAGCCGGGCCCGUAAGUCCCUGGCGAAAUCCCACGGCUCAACCGUGGGGCUUGCUGGGGAUACUGCGGGCCUUGGGACCGGGAGAGGCGGGGGGGACCCUGGGGGUGGGGGGGAAACCUAUAAUCCCAGGGGGACCGCCAGUGGCGAAGGCGCCCCGCUGGAACGGGUCCGACGGUGAGGGACGAAGGCCAGGGGAGCAAACCGGAUUAGAUACCCGGGUAGUCCUGGCUGUAAAGGAUGCGGGCUAGGUGUCGGGUGAGCUUCGGGCUCGCCCGGUGCCGUAGGGAAGCCGUUAAGCCCGCCGCCUGGGGAGUACGGCCGCAAGGCUGAAACUUAAAGGAAUUGGCGGG
This 413-nucleotide ribosomal RNA is filed under the name uncultured microorganism. RNAcentral's name for it is "bacterial SSU rRNA". It matches the Rfam family "Archaeal small subunit ribosomal RNA", at positions 459 to 872 of the family's 1478-position model. The record is from RNAcentral.